GCCAAAACCAAAAAUUUUCGCGAACUGAACAAGGCCUGAACAAUGCCCUAGGCGAUAUCCAUUCCGUUAAUUAGGGCACUCACAAUGCAGACUCUAUCAUAGAGUUUAAAGUUAUUUAUUACCUCUGUCACACCCCAAAAUUUUUGAUUUUGGGCUGUGCGUAGAAAACAUUAACAAAAAUAUAUAUUUUGAUAUUUGGAUAAAAUUUACCAAGUUUAGUUUGGAGUCACUGCAAAUUUAGUUAUAGGAGAAUGUUAAUUUUCAAAUUUGUUUUGAAUUAACUUGAUGAGCUUUUGUUGAUGUGAGGUGAUGCUUGCUUGUCGCUUGACUUUGUGUUGUGAGCGGGUGCAGUUUUAAUAAGCGCGUUUAGUAAGUCGUUGAUCUCUAUCCGGCGUGUCUCCAGUUUUUUUUUUUUCUAUAUAAUCAAGUCUUCUCUUUCUUGAUCAUUAAUCUUUUUAUUUAGAGUUUCCAUAUCCCUUUAUUCUAUUUUAAAUUAUUCCUUUGGGUACACCUUCCAUGAACCGACCUAUUAAAACGUAUGAAGAAUUAUUUUCAGCAUUUUUCCUGGAAUUUAUUUCCACUUGACUCUGAGCAUAAUCUAAUUUCUAGAUGCUCCUAGAUAUCUUUUCAUGAGCUCUAAAUACUUUAUUUGGAUUCAUCUUCCAAUUCACCCAUGAGUUUGUCAUGCUUUUGUUAAAGCUCCCUUUUACUUUGUGUAAAAUUCUUGCUAAUUUGGGCUCAAACCCACCAUCCGACCGCAGCUCAAUUUGUCCGACGUCUUAUCGUAGGGAGACCAGGAAGCCAACUCCUUUUUGAUCUUAAAACGGCCCAUAUCUUCUAGCAUAUAUAUAUAUAUAUCUUGCAACAGAACAGGCUCUUGCUUUUGCCCUAGAUCGUAUCUGCCGCCGCCGGUGCCGACUAAUCUCCCCUAGAGCCAUGCCGUCCUGCUCCAUCCUGGCCACCGCAGUCGUCAUCGGGUACAGUAUUUUUCGGCUGUUGGACGAAUUCAUCUGCUCGUCGAUUUCCUCCGUUUCAUCAAUCGGCGCACUGCAGAAGCUGUUGUCCUCUGUGUUGAUCGGUGGUACUGUGCAGAGGUGGAAGUCCAUGCUGCUGUUACCGAUUACCGCUGCCCGGCGCUGCGUUCUCUGGCUUUCACUCUCACCGACACACAUGGAUCAAGGUAAUUAGGACUGUGGUUUGUGGGUGAAUUUCAGAAUUUUCAGUGCACGUGGAUCGAGUGAGAAAUCAACAUUUAUGUAUUACUUUUGUUAAUUGGUGGUAAAAGAAAUCAGAUUUAGAAUUUCUUUUUGCUCCAUGAAUACGUGAUGUCGUGGAUAAGUUUUGUCACCGUUUUCCUUUAGAAAAACAAAUCUAGAAAUAUAGAGAAAAUACAUUAGCUUGUUUUAGCUAUAAAAUACUCAUUUUAACUCUGAGUUUGUUUGUUCAAGUUGCAUUAGACUCAUAUCAAUGUAAUCUACGCGUUAGUGCUAGUGUUUUUCAUGUCACAUGUUUUCUAUAUAUUUCUAAAUAUUUAAUUGCUCAAUAUCCUUAUAGUUAGUUUUAUAAUUAAAAUAAUAUGGGUUUGUCUAUCCUUUGUAAUUAUGUGAGCAUGAAUUUAAUUAAUAGCAACUUGAAUAUGUUUUAAUUAUAUUUUGCUUAGACAAUCACGAUAUAUACCAUAAACUUAUUUUAGUGCUCACAUGUUACGUAAUUUUAUAAGUUAAAGUUUAACUGGCAUAAACGAUAUAAAAUUAUGUAUGAAUAACAUAUGAUCAUCUCCAACACGUAUCAUGUAUAAUUUGAAUAGAUGUUCUCACAUAUUCUUUAAAAAGUUAAAGUUUACUUUGAUUAAAAUGAUGCUUGCAUGCCUAUAUUUAAAAUAUGAUUAUCGAUUAUAUAAUAGAUAUAUUCAUAAAUAAAAUAUAAUAAGUUCUACUUUGUUUUUAAAAUUAAAAUAUAAUUUGACUAAUUUGAAUUAGUAGGUUACGCAUGAUUGUUCUUAAAUAAAACAUAUUAAGAUCAUUGUUGUCUCUUUUAAAUUAUCCAAAACUACAGGUAGUCAUUUCUUUAUUACGAUAGUUUUGCUUUCGGCGUUUCUCAUAACCUUAGCAUCGACCCGUAACGUUUAGUGCGCUCUCUUUUAAGGCUUUCUUUUUUUGAUUGGUGUGUUGUUCUUAGUUUCUUUUAUUUGUUGCUUUGUAUGUUUGCCUAUGCGUGGUGCUUCAUGCGAGUAGACGAGAACUGUUUGUGGGCAUUGAAGAUCAGAAGAUGAUGACAGAAAGCUGAUGAUGUGAGGAUUAAGCAAGUGUUUAAGGCAAGUAUAACUUGGGAUCAUCCUUGUUACCUAUUCACUUAUAACUACACAUAUAUGUCAUAUGCAUGCUAUCACCUUGUCGACCUUAGCAAAAUCAUAGAUGAUUGUUACCUGGAUUCCUUGCUACCUACUUGAUAUGCAUUUGGUGUAGAUGUGCUAGUGCUUGAUAUAAUCCAUGAUCUUGUAAGAUGAUUAAUAGCUAUGCAAUGAACGUUAAAAGAUGACAAAUAACUAUAUGAGAUCUUGUCUGUAAGUGAUCACCGGGACAACAGUGCAACCACGAGGGCUAUAAUGGCUCUGGCUUUAGCUCAGUAUGAAGACCUUUUCUAGCUUGUUAGAGGUUACCCGAAAGGGCGGAGGGGCUGAACCGACACGGGUAUAGUGCGAGCCCCUGUCCCUAUGUGUAUAGGCUGCGCGUCAUUGUGCCAUUCGGAAGGGGGGUAUCUAUAUCUGCUCGCAAAGGAAACCUUGCGGCCCUAACAUGUUAGACGAACUUUUGAAAGGCUUCAUAGUGAUCCCUGCCGACCUUCCUUGGGAGUGGGUUAAGAGGCUGAUCACCUCGGGCGAAAGGGUAAAUCAUGACUCAUGGGUAAAGAUGUACAACCUCUGCAGAGUGUUAAAACUAGUAUACUAGCCGUGCUCACGGUUAAGAGCGGCCUUGGGGGUUCUUGCUGCGACGACGAUGAGCUUGUUAAGUUGUUAUGUUCAUUUGAUUAUCGUUUAUGCUAAGAAUUAAUUAUGCUUACACUUGAUCAUGUGAUUAAUGGAUUAUUACUGCUACCUUGACAAUUGCUAUUAAAUUAUGAACAUGCUCUCCACUAUUAAAAGCUAAAUGCAGUUAAACCAGUGUCAGCCAUUUGAGCCUCAUGAACCCCUGGUUAUACUUGUUGAGUACGAUAUGUGCUCACUCUUGCUAUUUCCCACCACUCCAGUAUACUACUAAGAGUUAUCAGAGGAGCGAAGGAGUUACGAAGGACGUUAUCAGGAUACAAGAAGUGCUAGGCAUAUGUUACCCCAGUCAGCCGUCCCUGUGAAGAUUGAGCCUGAAGAUUAGUUAUUGUGUUACGAUUCUCUGAUGUAAGUGUUAAUUAUAAGUAUGUUUCCGCUAUAUAACAUUGUUUUUGAUAUUAUUGCUUCUGUUGUUAUAUGUGUGGACUUCCUGGGCACACAUAUGGCUAGCCUGGUUUUGUUCUUUAAAAUCGGGUGUGACAGAGAUGGAUUAUUACUGCUACCUUGACAAUUGCUAUUAAAUUAUGAACAUGCUCUCCACUAUUAAAAGCUAAAUGCAGUUAAACCAGUGUCAGCCAUUUGAGCCUCAUGAACCCCUGGUUAUACUUGUUGAGUACGAUAUGUGCUCACUCUUGCUAUUUCCCACCACUCCAGUAUACUACUAAGAGUUAUCAGAGGAGCGAAGGAGUUACGAAGGACGUUAUCAGGAUACAAGAAGUGCUAGGCAUAUGUUACCCCAGUCAGCCGUCCCUGUGAAGAUUGAGCCUGAAGAUUAGUUAUUGUGUUACGAUUCUCUGAUGUAAGUGUUAAUUAUAAGUAUGUUUCCGCUAUAUAACAUUGUUUUUGAUAUUAUUGCUUCUGUUGUUAUAUGUGUGGACUUCCUGGGCACACAUAUGGCUAGCCUGGUUUUGUUCUUUAAAAUCGGGUGUGACAGAGUGGUAUCAAAGCAGUGUUGACUGUAGGACGUAUGCCUAGAUAGAACUGGUCGAUUAGAAAAGUCUAAUUUGCUAUAAAACUAUUUUAUUAUCCCUUGACUCUUUAAUUUUGAUUAUUUCUCAAUCCUUGUCCCGUUGUAUUCUCUCCUUGAUAGCUUCCUUUGAGCUAUUAUUGCUUACUCCCUUGGUUUUUGUUCUAUGUAAUUUUACUAAAAGUUUUUUUUUUCCUACCUCAUUCAAAAGUUCGAUAGUCUUUUAUCAUCUCUCAUCUGCCCUUUAGGAUGACCACCAUAUUGAGGAAACACGUAUAGAAUCGAUGAUGUGUUGUGUGCUUGUCUUGUUUGGCGUAUUGCUUGUGUGUCGUCUCUAUUCUUGUGUUUUGAAGGAGGCCCAAAAGUUAUCGUCUUGAGAAGUAGCUCAAUCUUGUUAAGUGGGGUAGCGUCUGCUACCAUCAUCUAUCUUAAGUUUCAAGACCUAUCGACCUAAUGAUCAAUCUUAUCUUUCUUGUAUAUCUCUUUCUUGUAUAUUAAACUUUAUCUUUUCUAUCAUCAAUCGUCAUCUUCUUCUGCUCUUUUGUUAGUCUUUGCCCCUUGAUUGUUUACCUUAUAAUAUAAUGAUCUAAAGGUCAACUUCAUCCUCUUAGUCUACUUUUCUUGUCAUCAAUCUAUGUAUUUCUUGUGAUCGAUUAUUAUUUUUCAACUUAACCUUUAUCCGUCUACAGUUAUUUUAUCAACUCUCAUUAUAGAGCUCGAAAUAACAUUGAAGAACUUACCAAUCCUUGCUAAUUUUAAUCUUUUAUCAUAAAUGUCAUAAUCUUGAAUCAAGGAAUUCUAAGCACUAUAAGAUGUAUCUUUAUCAUUUAUAUUAUCUCUUGCUGAUCUUCACUCCUUGACUUUAGACCUCAUAAUCUGAAGAUCUGUGAUCAACCUUUAUCUAUUUUUUUAACCUUCCUUGAUCUUUCUUUUCUACCUAUGCUGAUCUUCAAUCCUUUGAUCUCAUUUCAUAAAUCCCAAAUGAAUCUUGAGAACAAAUCCUUGACAUUUUUGUCAACCUUUGUUAAUCCUUAAUCUCUAAAUCAUAUCCCGUCAAAAGUAUCAAAACAAUCUUGAAGAUCUGCUUUAUCGUUCUCUCUAGUCUCUCCGAAUCUCGGGACGAGAUUCCUGUUAAGUGGGGUAGAUUGUCACACCCCAAAAUUUUUGAUUUUGGGCUGUGCGUAGAAAACAUUAACAAAAAUAUAUAUUUUGAUAUUUGGAUAAAAUUUACCAAGUUUAGUUUGGAGUCACUGCAAAUUUAGUUAUAGGAGAAUGUUAAUUUUCAAAUUUGUUUUGAAUUAACUUGAUGAGCUUUUGUUGAUGUGAGGUGAUGCUUGCUUGUCGCUUGACUUUGUGUUGUGAGCGGGUGCAGUUUUAAUAAGCGCGUUUAGUAAGUCGUUGAUCUCUAUCCGGCGUGUCUCCAGUUUUUUUUUUUUUCUAUAUAAUCAAGUCUUCUCUUUCUUGAUCAUUAAUCUUUUUAUUUAGAGUUUCCAUAUCCCUUUAUUCUAUUUUAAAUUAUUCCUUUGGGUACACCUUCCAUGAACCGACCUAUUAAAACGUAUGAAGAAUUAUUUUCAGCAUUUUUCCUGGAAUUUAUUUCCACUUGACUCUGAGCAUAAUCUAAUUUCUAGAUGCUCCUAGAUAUCUUUUCAUGAGCUCUAAAUACUUUAUUUGGAUUCAUCUUCCAAUUCACCCAUGAGUUUGUCAUGCUUUUGUUAAAGCUCCCUUUUACUUUGUGUAAAAUUCUUGCUAAUUUGGGCUCAAACCCACCAUCCGACCGCAGCUCAAUUUGUCCGACGUCUUAUCGUAGGGAGACCAGGAAGCCAACUCCUUUUUGAUCUUAAAACGGCCCAUAUCUUCUAGCAUAUAUAUAUAUAUAUCUUGCAACAGA
This 5901-nucleotide long non-coding RNA is filed under the name Sorghum bicolor (sorghum). Its description in RNAcentral is "long non-coding RNA (SBIC_LNC001488)". Lineage: Eukaryota; Viridiplantae; Streptophyta; Magnoliopsida; Poales; Poaceae. The record is from RNAcentral.